AGAGUUUGAUCAUGGCUCAGGAUGAACGCUGGCGGUCUGCUUAACACAUGCAAGUCGAACGGGCUCUUUCGGGAGCUAGUGGCGGACGGGUGAGUAACGCGUGAGAAUCUGCCAAAAGGACUGGGACAACCACUGGAAACGGUGGCUAAUACCGGAUGAGCCGCAACGUAAAAGAGGAAACUCGCCUUUUGAGGAGCUCGCGUCUGAUUAGCUAGUUGGUGAGGUAAGAGCUCACCAAGGCAUCGAUCAGUAGCUGGUCUGAGAGGAUGAUCAGCCACACUGGGACUGAGACACGGCCCAGACUCCUACGGGAGGCAGCAGUGGGGAAUUUUCCGCAAUGGGCGAAAGCCUGACGGAGCAAGACCGCGUGAGGGAGGAAGGCUCUUGGGUUGUAAACCUCUUUUGUCAGGGAAGAACACAAUGACGGUACCUGAAGAAUCAGCAUCGGCUAACUCCGUGCCAGCAGCCGCGGUAAUACGGGGGAUGCAAGCGUUAUCCGGAAUUAUUGGGCGUAAAGCGUCCGCAGGUGGCUAAUCAAGUCUGCUGUCAAAGGUUGGGGCUUAACCCCAAAAAGGCAGUGGAAACUGAGAAGCUAGAGUGCAGUAGGGGUAGAGGGAAUUCCCGGUGUAGCGGUGAAAUGCGUAGAGAUCGGGAAGAACAUCGGUGGCGAAAGCGCUCUACUGGACUGCAACUGACACUCCGGGACGAAAGCUAGGGGAGCGAAUGGGAUUAGAUACCCCGGUAGUCC
Molecule: ribosomal RNA, 748 nt
Filed under: uncultured cyanobacterium
Lineage: Bacteria; Bacillati; Cyanobacteriota
Description: bacterial SSU rRNA
Rfam family: Bacterial small subunit ribosomal RNA
Source: RNAcentral